Schistocerca americana (American grasshopper) is the source of this 859-nucleotide long non-coding RNA. RefSeq lists it as uncharacterized. Lineage: Eukaryota; Metazoa; Arthropoda; Insecta; Orthoptera; Acrididae. The record is from RefSeq and is a predicted model, not a curated record. The transcript has 3 exons.
AGCGCUCGUGCACGGUCGGAGGGAGAGAGUGGGAGAGCUUGUGGCCUGUCUCGUCGACGCUCGGCCGCCGCCGCGACGCCGCUGCUGCCGCCGCCAGCUUUUGGACUGCCUCCGGCGCUGUGGCCGUCGACGCCGAGCAGUGAUGACCAGGACGAUGACACCGUGCGACGUCUUACGUAGGCACACCUCCCGCUGACCGCCUACGCCGCGACGAUCUUUCCUCUCGCCAGGCGAAAACUACGACGUGUCAACAACAUUUUUGUUUUUUCUGCUUCCGUGUUUUCAUGUUCCGUGAAACCGCUUCUCCCAUUACCACUCUUCCGUUUCCCAGUGUUUGUUUUCUCCGUUUCUUUCAUCGUGGAUGUUUUGUUUUGGUGUAGCGAGUGACGAGCUUAUGUCAUUAAACGUACAUCCAAUCUGUCGGUAUAUUGGUGUGUGAUAUUUUACUAUUAUAUAUUUAGCCAUCACUUGAAAGCCGUGAAAAAUUUUUGAAAGUGGAGAGGAAAAAGAAAAGGCGCAGAAGGCUUUUUAAGCUUCAUGGAUAUGUGCUCUACGCUUCAACUACUGUCGCAGAAUCAUCUUCCGGGAAAGGAAAUUUCGCCUGAAAUGGUGCCGCGGCCGCACUGAACAUGCGGGCGGCGCUGGUGCGCGUCGCGGCGCUGCUUUGGGUGGCGCUGCACGCCGCCGCAUGGGUCAACGACGUCAGCCCCAAGAUGUACGUCCAGUUCGGUAAGUUUGUGCAGAAAUUGACGUCACCAGUGUCUGAAACUUUGUAAGUACACACGCUUUAUGGAUAAUACACAUAAUUUUUGUCUGCUCCCUUCCCCAUCCACCCAACAUACGCACUAUAUAAUUCUCC